CAUAUAACAGAUACAGGGCUCCUAUCACAGAUACAGGGCUCAUAUAUCUGUUAUAUGAGCCCUGUAUCUGUGAUAGGAGCCCUGUAUCUGUUAUAUG
Molecule: small nucleolar RNA, 97 nt
Organism: Pseudophryne corroboree (corroboree frog)
Lineage: Eukaryota; Metazoa; Chordata; Amphibia; Anura; Myobatrachidae
Product: small nucleolar RNA SNORD86
Exons: 1
Source: RefSeq, a predicted model, not a curated record